This 613-nucleotide ribosomal RNA is filed under the name Bacillus sp. FJAT-17472. Its description in RNAcentral is "bacterial SSU rRNA". It matches the Rfam family "Bacterial small subunit ribosomal RNA", at positions 56 to 651 of the family's 1533-position model. The record is from RNAcentral. Lineage: Bacteria; Bacillati; Bacillota; Bacilli; Caryophanales; Bacillaceae.
UGCAGUCGAGCGGAUUGAUGGGAGCUUGCUCCCUGAUAUCAGCGGCGGACGGGUGAGUAACACGUGGGUAACCUGCCUGUAAGACUGGGAUAACUCCGGGAAACCGGGGCUAAUACCGGAUAACUCAUUUCCUCGCAUGAGGAAAUGUUGAAAGGUGGCUUUUGCCUACCACUUACAAAUGGACCCGCGGCGCAUUACCUAGUUGGUGAGGUAACGGCUCACCAAGGCAACGAUGCGUACCCAACCUGAAAGGGUGAUCGGCCACACUGGGACUGAAACACGGCCCAAACUCCUACGGGAGGCAGCAGUAGGGAAUCUUCCGCAAGGGACAAAAGUCUGACGGAGCAACGCCGCGUGAGUGAUGAAGGUUUUCGGAUCGUAAAGCUCUGUUGUUAGGGAAAAACAAGUGCCGUUCAAAUAGGGCGGCACCUUGACGGUACCUAACCAAAAAGCCACGGCUAACUACUUGCCACCAGCCGCGGUAAUACGUAGGUGGCAAGCGUUGUCCGGAAUUAUUGGGCGUAAAGCGCGCGCAGGUGGUUCCUUAAGUCUGAUGUGAAAGCCCACGGCUCACCCGUGAAGGGUCAUUGGAAACUGGGGAACUUGAGUGCAG